AAAAACUGGAUGUGGUGACAGAUUGAUCUGUAGCUUAGCCCAUAUAAUUUCUCUGAAUGUAUUGAAGUUCUCCAUCAGGACACCGUAAAUAGUUUUGCAUGUGUAUGAUAUUAUGUCACGCUUCGCUUGUUUCGCAAUUGCAGUGCGAAAUUCUAUAUCCUUGUAGCGUCUUUCUGUGGCCAGGAAUCUUAAAGGCAGCCGCUAGUGUAGACAUAUUGUUCUCGUCGUACUAGUAUUUUUUUCCGUAACACGCGAGGGUACAUGAGUGUCCGAAUAUAAUUGUUUCCAAUCGCAAAUAAUUACGCCAGUCGACGGGUUCACCCUGCAUUUAUGUGCGAAAACUGCUUAAGCAUCCACUGUCUUGACCACUUUUAUAGGUUUCUCCGUUUGCAUUUUUUUUUUUUUCAACAUAAAUUACAAACACAGACCGGCGGAUGGCGGGCGAGCAACGGAAUGGUGUGUGAAUACACAGAAUUUUGCGCAGACAGGGGCUCGUGACUUUGAAGUGUACAGUUUGGCGUAUGCACUUUGGUGUAUCUGUGAUGGAGAUGGCGUAUGCCGGUAGUUUUGAAUGUUAUCAAUAGUAAAGAAUUAUUUUUAGUAUGUUUAUUUUCAUGUCGUAAUUGGAAAGGUUGUUGUUACACAUAUUUAUAAAAAUACGUUAAAAUGAGUGUUGUGUUUCAAGACAACAUCGGUUGGGUUUUAUCUCACGACAUGUUCGUGAAAAGUAUUUAUGGUGAAGUCUAUGACAAUAACGUUACGUGUAGGUUAGAGUUCGACCCAGCACUGUUUAAGAUUGAAACUCCAUUUAUAAAUAAAGCACCUGUCGACUCAGAUAAUUCGUUGGGCUCAGAUAGUUCCGGUAAUUUGUGGUUUUUACCCAAGAAGAAAAGAAGAACUAACAGAAACGGCGCCGAAAGUACGAAUAACAGUGCAGAGCAAGUAGUUAAUCUUGUGGCAAACAAAUCAUCAGUUUUACUUAACAAUGCAAAGAAACAGGGUGUGUUCAAUUGUGAGCCAUCAUCAUCAGAUACCUUAAGAAGAAACGAAGAUGCGAGAAACCUAUCGGUUAUAUUUUACAAAGAAAACUCUGAUGAACAAAAUAAGACAUUUCAUGGAGCCAACAAUCAGGAGUUUCCCAUAAUAGUGUCACAUGGAGAGAAAAAGUAUGUUUUCCCACCAAGGUGUAUGUUCUUUAAUAAUGAUAUAAGCAACUUGAACCAGAAAUUGGAUGUCCUUGGGAAGUUCGAUCUGCUGCUCUUGGAUCCACCUUGGUGGAAUAAAUAUAUACGAAGGAAGAAACAAAAGUCUCGUGAAUCAAGUUACAGUAUGAUGUAUGAUGAGGACCUGUUAAAAUUGCCAGUUGCAUCCUUAAUAGCUCCUGGUGCACUUGUUGCAGUAUGGUGCACAAAUUCUGAAACACACAUAAAUACAAUGAAAAAUAAAAUAUUUCCUUCUUGGGGAAUUGAGUGUGUCAGCAAAUGGUACUGGCUAAAGGUCACUCGGAGUGGUAUACCAGUUUGCAAUUUCUCUGAACCUCCUAAUAAGCAGCCAUUUGAGCAAAUACUCUUUGCACAUCAACUGUGUACACCAAGAAGUUUUCCAUUACCAGAAGAUGGAAAAAUAGUUAUUAGCAUCCCAAGUGCUAUUCAUUCACACAAACCUCCUCUGACAGAUGCUUAAAUGCAAACAUAGAGCCAGUGCAGAGGCCGUUUAUAGUCCACAAGUGUACUGGUCCUACUUGCUGAAGUUCGUGGACUAGGCCACAGUGGUAGAUGAAAGUGUCUCUAAUUUAGAGGAAAGUGGCAUUGAACAUGGAAACCCACGUUUGAAGAAAUUUUUGAGCAUGAAGUAGAGGCACAGUAUUCAUCGCAAGAAGAGACUGAUGUCACCGGUAGUGAGCCACAGCCCCAGCAGCAUGAACGGCCUCCCACAAAGAGAAGAAAAGUGACAACAGACAUUCUUUUGGAGGCCACAAAAAUGUUGAAGCCUGUGACUGAUAUGAGCAAAAACCAGUCCCAGCCUGCCCGGUCCCCCUGCGGGUCCGGGGGUAGGAACAGGCCAGAGGUAUUCCUGACUUGUCGUAAGAGGCGACUAAAAGGAGUCUCACACAUUCGGGCCUUUAUGUGAUGAUCCCCUUUAGGGUUUGACCUUCAUUUUUCCAAAGAGCAAGCCAAUUGGGGAAGGGUGCCUUACAUGGUGCAUUGUAUUCAUCAUGCAUUGAGAUCUUUAGCCCACUUUCUUGUCGAGGCAUUGCAGUCCCGCUCAUCCUCCAUCUCUUGGGCGAAGACACCUUCCUGGUUGCGUUUUCCUCCACCCACUACGCAGUGUCAUUUUCUGCGCUGAUGAUGACCAAGGAAUUCUUAGCACCUCAUAUCCAGCAUGGUAGUCAGUGUGUUGUGGUGGGGCCGCCAUGUACCCUGUUAGUUGUAGCCCCCAAACUACACAGGGGUCGCUCUGCUGAUGCCUGCACCAUUAACUCCCCACGUAUGCCAAGGAGUAGAUGCCUGUCACCCUGGGGCAUUGGGAGUCCUGGCAAUGGGCAUCGUGCCAUGUGGCCUUUGCUGCAGCUGGGUGGCGACCAUGGGAAUGGCCCCUGGUCAGAAUGGGUGUCAUCGUGGCGGAUGACACGCCUUGAAGUGUAGUACGUCAUCUCUUGCUGGUAGUCUGCCGCCAGCAGUCUCUAAUUGGGCAAAGUCUAAGUCAAUGAAGUCUCAGUUUUUUGUGGAGCAUUUAGAGGACAAGUUUGGGGAGGUGGAGGGACUGUCCAAAAUGCGAUCUUGAGCAAAACAGCCUCCUCUGCCCAGUUUAGGGCACCACUCACCUAUGACAAGCUGGAGCACGUUUUUGUUUCCAUCACACCCCAUAAGAGCUUAAAUCUGGUCCAGGGUAUUCCACAGGGAUCUUCUUUUGCAGUCUGAUGACAAGCUGCGCAUCAACUUAGAGCGACGAGGUGUUCAUUUCAUCCGGCACUUACAUAGGGGUCCAAAGGAUAAUCAGGUUGCCACUGGUGCCUUUAUCUUGGUGUUCGAGGGUGAUGCAUAACCCGAGAAGGUGAAGGUGAUGGUAUACCGGUGUGGUGUCAAGCCAUAUAUCCCUCCCCCGAUGCAGUCCUUCAAGUGCUGGAAGUUCGGGCAUAUGUCUUCACACUGUACUUCCACCAUCACCUGUCAAGAUUGUGAAUGUCCUUCACAUCCCAAUACUCCAUGUGCUUCGCUGCCCAUCUGUUCAACUGCAGAGAGCACCAUUUCCCUUGCUUGCCAGAGUGCAAGAUUUUACAGAAAGAAAGGAAAGUCAUGGAAUACAAGAUGCUGGACCGACUGACCUUCACUGAGGCUAAGAGGAAAUUUGAACACCUACAACAUGUGCAUAUGACAUCCUCUCACGCCGCCGCUACAGCAACAGUUCUAGCCCCAUCAGUUCCGCCAAUUCCAGUUGGCUCUCAGAACUGUAACACUACACCUGCUCCCUUUGUGGUGGGGGCACUUCCCUACCUGUUGCUCCCUCACUUCCUACCUCGGGAACACUGCCACCCCAAUCACUGGGGCCAUCAGUACCCACUUCUCAGCCGGAGAAGCAUCAGUCUUCUUCGCCUUCUCUCACUAGGAAGAGGUCCCUUGAGUCACUCCGUUCCCAGGUACCUACCAGUGGCAAAGCAGACACCCACCAGUGGCUGAAGUACUCACAGGUAGCUGGUCAUAGGGCUUCACAGUCCUCAUCAGUCCUUGAGACUGAAUCAGUGAAGCCCUCCCUACCACUGGAGAGCCCACGAUGACUUGUGUGGUUGUGACCACUUUCCCAUCUUCCUGUCACUCCCCUGACGUCAUCCGCACAUACGCCUACCCAGAUGGACUUUAAACAAGCUGGGCUGGGAAGCUUUCACCUCUGCUGUCACCAUCGAAUCUUCCUCAUAUGGUAACAUUGAUGUUAUGGUUGAGUGAGUGACCAGGACAAUUGUUUCUGUGGUGGAAAAUGCGAUCACUUGUUCCUUAGGGAGCCUCCGGCGAAAGACAGUACCUUGGUGGUCACCAGAAAUUUCUGAGGCCGUUAAGGAGUAUAGGCAGGCUUUGCAGUGACAUAAGCAGCACCCUUUCCUGGAGCACGUAAUAACUUUUAAACAACUCCAUGCCUCCAUUCACCAACUUACAAAACAAAUGGAAUCAGGAGUGGGGGGAGAGGUAUGUCUUGACCAUUGGGAGCCAUACGUCACCUUCCCAAGUCUGGAUGAAGAUCAAAUGUGUUUUUGGGUACAAGACCCCAACAGGUGUCCCUGGCAUUAACAUACAGGGUGUGUUAUCUACCGACUCAAACGCGAUUGCAGCACUAUGCUCGAGCCCUUGCGUUGGAGAAUUAGCCCCCCCCCCCCCCUCCUCCAGUCAAAUGGGCAGAUGGAAGGGAAGGACCUCGAAUCCUGUAAUGCUCCAUUUACUGAGAGGGAGCUCCUCAGCAGCCUUAAACAUUACCUCAACACAGCCCCUGGACCAGAUUGUAUCCACACUCAGAUGAUUAAACAUCUCUCGCCCCAUUGCAAGUGACAUCUCCUCAUCAUCUUCAACCGGAUCUGGUUCAAUGACAUCUUUCCAUCACAGUGGCAGGAGAGCACCAUCGUUCCUGUGCUUAAACCCGGUAAAAACCUGCUUGAUGUGGAUAGCUAUUGGCCCAUCAGCCUCACCAAUGUACUUCGUAAGCUGCUAGGAGCUAUGGUGAGUUGGCGGCUAUGUUGGGUCCUGUAGUCACAUGGCCUACUGGCUCCAUGCCAGGGUGGUUUCCUCCAGGGUCACUCUACCACUGAUAAUCUCAUGUCCCUCGAGUCUGCCAUCCGAACAGCCUUUUCCGGAUGCCAACAUCUGGUUGAAUCUUUUUUGAUUUACAAAAAGCUUACAUGACCUGGCAACAUCAUAUCCUUGCCACAUUAUAUGAGUGGGGUCUCCCGGGCCCACUCCCAAUUUUUAUCCAAAAUUUCCUGUCGCUCCGUACUUUCCCUGUCCAAGUUGGUGCCUCCGACAGUUCCCCCCAUAUCCAGGAGAAUGGGGUCCCGCAGGGCUCUGUAUUGAGUGUAUCUCUAUUUCUAUUGGACAUUAAUUGUUUAGCUGCACUGUAGGGCUGUCUGUCUCACCUUCUCUGUAUGCAGAAGACUUCUACAUUUCGUACUACUUCUCCAGUACUGGUGUUGCUGAGUGGCACCUACAGAUAGCCAUCCACAAGGGCCAGUCAUGGGUUCUAGCCCACGGCUUCCAGUUUUCAGCCGCGAAGUCGUGUGUCAUGUACUUCUGUUGGUGCUGUACCAUUCAUCCGGAACCAGAACUUUACCUUAAUGACAAUCCACUCACUGUAGUGGAGACAUAUCAAUUACUAGGGCUGGUUUUCGAUGCCCGAUUGACUUGGCUUCCUCACCUUCAUCAGCUUAAGCAGAAGUGUUGGUGGCACCUCUAUGUCCUCCACUGCCUGAGUAAUACCAACUGGGCUGCAGAUCGCCCUACACUGCAGCAGCUCUACAGUGCCUUGUUCAAUCCCGCCUUGACUAUGUGAGUCUGGUUUAUGAUUGGGCGACACCCUCAGCAUUGCAUUUACUCAACCCAGUGCACCACUGUGGCAUUUGACUAGCGAUGGGAGCUUUUAGGAUGAGUCCAGUGACCAGCAUACUGGUGGAGGCUUGAGUCCCUCCAUUGCAGAUCAGAUGUGCAUAACUCCUCACCAGUUAUGUUGCACGCAUCAUAGUUCUCCUGAGCAUCCGAAUUACCGUCUCCUUUUUCCACCCAUGGCGGUUCAUCUCCCGCAUCUGCAGCCUAGGUCAGAGCUUACGAUCACAGUUCAUACUCGAUACCUCCUGUGUGAACUAGUCCUUUCCUUUACCACCUCCCCUCCAGGUCCAUCCACAUACACCUCCAUUGUGUAUAACUAGGCCACAGCUUCGUCUGGACCUUUUGCAUGGCCCUAAGGACUCAGUUAUUCCCGCGGGUCUUCGUUGUCACUUCCUCUCAAUUCUUGACGUGUUCCGGACUCUGAAGUGGUUUACACUGACGGCUCGAUGACUUGUGGUCAUGUUGGCUUCGCCUCCAUCCACAGAGGCCAUAUUGAACAGCAUUCCUUGUCUGAUGGCUGCAGUGUAUUCACCACAGAUCUUGUGGCCAUAUGUUGUGCGCUUUAGUACAUCUGCUCAUGAUCUGGUGAGUCAUUUCUUCUCUGUACUGACUUCCUGAGCAGCUUACAAGCUAUUGACCAGUGCUACCCUUACCAUCCUUUGGUAGCGACCAUCCAGGAGUUCAUCUAUGCCCUGGAAUGAUCCAGUUGUUCCGUGGUGUUUGUGUGGAACCCAGGACGUAUCGAAAUUCCAGGUAAGGAACUUGACAACAGGCUGGCCAAACAGGCUACCUGGAAACCGUUUCUGGAGAUCAGCAUCUCUGAAAGGCUAUGUCCUGCUCCAUGAGGACCCCCCUCAGUGUCAGUGUAGUGCCUGGUUGACAGUGGUCCACAUUCUAUUGUGCUGUCCUGCUUUUUCUCUGCCCUGUGACAAAAUCUUUGGUUACUGGGCUCGUUGGCAUAAAUUUUAGCAGACAACACUUCAUUGACUGAUUUAGUUUUAUGUUUUAUAUGGGAGAGUGGGUUUUAUUGUUCUGUCUAAGGUUUAGCACCUCUGUGUUCUCUAGCCUAGUGUUUUUAGGCAGGAGGUUUUAAUGUGUCACAGAGUGUCUGGCUUAUCCUUUUUAUUCUCGUGAUAAGCCAGCCAUGUCAUCUGCUCUCUUGUUGUAAUCCCUUCAACCUGUUUCUUGCAUCUCUGUGGUUUUCUAGUACUAUUCUGUCUAUCAUAGUGUUUGUUAUCCUUUUGUCGUUCUUGUGGUUUUUCCUUUUUCUUAGUAUUAUGCUGCAUGUCUCCUUUGUUUUCUUCUUUCACUUGUAGAAUUGUUUUAAUGGGAACAAGGAACCAAUGACCAAGCAGUUUGGCCCCUUCCCCAUCCCUUUGAAACCAACCAAACAACCAGCCUGCCCAGAAAGAUUGGUACAGUGCCUUUGCCAACCAUAUCGCUGCUGAGCUGCAGAAGAUGGAAAAUGUGGGUGAUAAAGUAUUUGCAGCGAACACUGUGCAUGGAUUAAAUCAUUUUCUGGUGGACAGGUGGGAUAAGCUGCAGCUGACAAUUUCACAGUCAUAGCCACAGCCAUCCCCCUCUGGAUACACCCAGGCAACUUUCCACCUAGCUUGUAUAUAGGAGGAGGAGGAUGCUAUAACAUAUAUAAAUUUUCUGAGCUCUUAAGUCUUCUUAAUCUGUUUUUGUACUCAGGAUGCCUCAUGUUGUAAAGCACUUCAUCAGCUUCAUACAUUUAUUAAUUUUGUAGUUGUUGGGACACAAAAUGUAUUUAUUACUUUGUUCUGCAAUAAAAUAGUUCUUAAUGCACAUAAA
This is an RNA transcript of Schistocerca gregaria, 7397 nucleotides long. It is a transcript of the gene named N(6)-adenine-specific methyltransferase METTL4, with no coding region annotated. The transcript is spliced from 7 exons. NCBI's taxonomy places the organism in Eukaryota, Metazoa, Arthropoda, Insecta, Orthoptera, Acrididae. The record is from RefSeq and is a predicted model, not a curated record.